Molecule: long non-coding RNA, 630 nt
Organism: Hemicordylus capensis (graceful crag lizard)
Lineage: Eukaryota; Metazoa; Chordata; Lepidosauria; Squamata; Cordylidae
Exons: 3
Source: RefSeq, a predicted model, not a curated record
GUUACAGCUGAAGCAUAUGAAAACCAUAUUCCAGAAAAAUCUGACAGAGUUGGAGGGCAAGGAAGAAAGUUAAAAAUAAAUAAAUUCAGAGCUACUAAUAUAAGUGCAUGGACUCUUGUGCUAUACGUGCCUAUAUAUGGACCCCGAGUCUUGUCGCCGAUUCGCAGGUGGCGAAUGCGAGGCUAAUGAAGGAAAAUGUCUCACAACCUCCCUCUACGAAGUUAGCAAUCACAAGUAUAUUGGAUCGUACUAUGAAUGUUUCCAAUCGUUGCCUGGAGUGGAGUGUCACACUGCUGUAAAGGAGCCUAAUAUCAUUUUUGUUUAUGAGUGCUGUGAAACUGACAAGUGCAACACAAAUCCUACACCUUUCCCUCCUCGCUGGUGUACAAAUUCUUCCAAGGAAUGUGAGUGAGAUUUUCAAGGCUGUGGCUCACCCCACUCUCAGCCUCUUUAGUCCAUCCCCUUGAAGAGAGACCUGGAGAAUCUGCUGUUACCCACAUUUUGUUCUAUCCUCUCUGAAGUGAACUGAUUUAGUUGCCUGCACCCCAUCUUCUCAAGCCUCCCUCUCCCAGGGCAUCUUAAUUGGUUGAGAAGGUUUAAGAUGAAAGAAUAAACAUGCCUUCUGUUGCA